ACGCUCGACACCUACGAGAGGCAGCAGUGGGGGAUAUUGCACAAUGGGGGAAACCCUGAUGCAGCAACGCCGCGUGAAGGAAGAAGGUCUUCGGAUUGUAAACUUCUGUCCUCAGGGAAGAUAAUGACGGUACCUGAGGAGGAAGCUCCGGCUAACUACGUGUCAGCAGCCGCGGUAAUCUGAGCGGGCUGGCAAGGC
RNAcentral lists this ribosomal RNA (198 nucleotides) under uncultured bacterium. Its description in RNAcentral is "partial 16S ribosomal RNA". It matches the Rfam family "Bacterial small subunit ribosomal RNA", at positions 328 to 539 of the family's 1533-position model. The record is from RNAcentral.